GAUGAACGCUAGCUACAGGCUUAACACAUGCAAGUCGCGGGGCAGCAUGGGGGUUGCUUGCAAUCCCCGAUGGCGACCGGCGCACGGGUGAGUAACGCGUAUCCAACCUGCCCUUCACCACGGGAUAACCCGGCGAAAGUCGGACUAAUACCGUAUGUUGUCCAUUGACGGCAUCCGAUUUGGACGAAAGGUUUGGCGGUGAAGGAUGGGGAUGCGUCCGAUUAGCUGGGCGGCGGGGUGACGGCCCACCGUGGCGACGAUCGGUAGGGGUUCUGAGAGGAAGGUCCCCCACACUGGAACUGAGACACGGUCCAGACUCCUACGGGAGGCAGCAGUGAGGAAUAUUGGUCAAUGGGCGUAAGCCUGAACCAGCCAAGUAGCGUGCAGGAUGACGGCCCUAUGGGUUGUAAACUGCUUUUAUGCGGGGAUAAAGUGGCCCACGUGUGGGUUUUUGCAGGUACCGCAUGAAUAAGGACCGGCUAAUUCCGUG
This 490-nucleotide ribosomal RNA is filed under the name uncultured bacterium. Its description in RNAcentral is "partial 16S ribosomal RNA". It matches the Rfam family "Bacterial small subunit ribosomal RNA", at positions 28 to 507 of the family's 1533-position model. The record is from RNAcentral.